GACGAACGCUGGCGGCGUGCUUAACACAUGCAAGUCGAGCGGUAAGGCCCUUUCGGGGGUACACGAGCGGCGAACGGGUGAGUAACACGUGGGUGACCUGCCCUCAGCUCUGGGAUAAGCCUGGGAAACCGGGUCUAAUACCGGAUAUGACUCCAUGACGCAUGUUGUGGGGUGGAAAGCCUUGUGCGGCUGAGGAUGGGCCCGCGGCCUAUCAGCUUGUUGGUGGGGUGAUGGCCUACCAAGGCGACGACGGGUAGCCGGCCUGAGAGGGCGACCGGCCACACUGGGACUGAGACACGGCCCAGAACUCCUACGGGAGGCAGCAGUGGGGAAUCUUGCGCAAUGGGCGAAAGGCCUGACGCAGCGACGCCGCGUGAGGGAUGAC
RNAcentral lists this ribosomal RNA (385 nucleotides) under uncultured bacterium. RNAcentral describes it as "bacterial SSU rRNA". It matches the Rfam family "Bacterial small subunit ribosomal RNA", at positions 28 to 412 of the family's 1533-position model. The record is from RNAcentral.